This 247-nucleotide ribosomal RNA is filed under the name uncultured bacterium. RNAcentral's name for it is "partial 16S ribosomal RNA". It matches the Rfam family "Bacterial small subunit ribosomal RNA", at positions 15 to 257 of the family's 1533-position model. The record is from RNAcentral.
GAUCCUGGCUCAGGAUGAACGCUGGUGGCGUGCCUAAUACAUGCAAGUCGAACGCUGGAGAUCUAGCUUGCUAGAUCGAAGGAGUGGCGAACGGGUGAGUAAUACAUAAGCAACCUACCCACGAAGACUGGGAUAAUCUCUGGAAACGGGGACUAAUACCGGAUAGGUAAUCGGAAGGCAUCUUCUGGUUAUUAAAGGUUAAAAACACUGGUGGAUGGGCUUAUGGCGCAUUAGUUAGUUGGUGAGG